AUACGGAGGGGGCUAGCGUUGUUCGGAAUUACUGGGCGUAAAGCGCACGUAGGCGGCUUUGUAAGUCAGAGGUGAAAGCCUGGAGCUCAACUCCAGAACUGCCUUUGAGACUGCAUCGCUUGAAUCCAGGAGAGGUCAGUGGAAUUCCGAGUGUAGAGGUGAAAUUCGUAGAUAUUCGGAAGAACACCAGUGGCGAAGGCGGCUGACUGGACUGGUAUUGACGCUGAGGUGCGAAAGCGUGGGGAGCAAACAGGAUUAGAUACCCCAGUAGUCC
This 274-nucleotide ribosomal RNA is filed under the name uncultured bacterium. Its description in RNAcentral is "partial 16S ribosomal RNA". It matches the Rfam family "Bacterial small subunit ribosomal RNA", at positions 523 to 796 of the family's 1533-position model. The record is from RNAcentral.